This 850-nucleotide long non-coding RNA is filed under the name Gallus gallus (chicken). Its description in RNAcentral is "long non-coding RNA NONGGAT004351". The record is from RNAcentral. Lineage: Eukaryota; Metazoa; Chordata; Aves; Galliformes; Phasianidae.
GAAAAUGAUAUGCCAAGCAUUUAAGUGACCUGUUCAAAGUCAGGUCGACCACAGUGAGAUGGCGCAGCCCCAGGGUGCGAAAGAUGAUAUACGUGCGUUGCAGCGAGAAGUGGGCUUGGACUGACAUGGCCGAUUUGUUUAUGUAUGGCUCCUGUAAGACAAAGAGAGGAGACACAGGGAGAACACAAAAAUGAAAUGCUUAUAAAAGUCAAUUCAUGUAGAAACACAGACUGUGAGGAAGAGGACAAAGAAAACAAUCACAUGGCUCUGGGAAGAAGAGGACCGCAAGUACUGAAUUCUGGUCACAGAAAGCAAUAAGGUCUAUAACUUGGACUGAGGAAAUAUUCAAAGACAUAAGGAGGAAAAAAAAAUUAAAGCAGAAAUGUUUCAUUUCUUCUAUGCCACAUACAAUUUUGCUGUGGAAUUCACUGCCAUAGGAAAUCAUUAAGCCCAGAAACUUCAGAGCAAACAUUUCUGUGGGUGCCAUAAAAAGACCUUUCAUGAGGAAUAACAAGUUUUUGGAAGAGAUACUAAACUUUCUGCUUCAGGCAUCACAUCAGAGUUGGCUUCGGUCUUACCAGAUUGAUGAAGAGUUGCUGAUACCGGGGAUCUGUAGUGUAGCGAUUCAGCAGCACGGCUAGGCGCGACGGCUUGGGCAGCUUCUCCACUGUUAUCUGGAACAGGCAAGAAUCCAUUUCUCUUUCCUUCUGCACUGCACAUUAGAACCCACGGUUCCAAAGCCUUCCAGUUCAUCUCUAAGAAAAAGCUUUCUAGCAGAGCUACUCUGGCAGACCUUGUCCUUUUUAAAUUCUUCUGCCAGUCAAGCUUAAACCAGUACUCAAAAUAAAAC